AACAUUGAUAGCUAUUGGAUAUAGAUAUAAGUGCGUAUAAAAAUUGAAAUUUACUCGUUGGUUGGUAGUUUAAAAAAAAUGCAGUGUUUUGUACUUCUUAUUGUAGGACUUUGUGCCACAUCUGUGGCAUCACAAUGUGUCACGGCUCGGUCCGGGCCAGUUCCAUCUGAUUAUGUAUCAUUUUCCGUUGACGAUGCAGUGCUGACCCCCGACUAUUCCCGUUGGCGUAUAAACUACUUACCAAGGUGCUACGGCGGAGUAUUAGAAGUCAGCACUUGCGAUCCAUUCACGCAACCGACAAUCAAAAUACUAUCAGAGACCGAAGUAAUUGUGUCUCGCGGUAUACCGAGGUUGACACUGAAAGUCCACGCCAAAUUCUGGUGUGCGGAGAACUCUAAUGGAUUUCCAAAGGUUCCGCCUGUUGUAACUCCACUCCAGAGGUCAUAGAAUCAUGGGAUAGCUCUUAUUAAUAAAAAGUUACUUACUUCCAGCUACAGUAUGUUUUGUCUUGUUUUGGCAAUGUCAAACAUUAUAUUCAAAAUUCAAAUUCAAAUUCAAAAUUCAAAAUUCUUUAUUCAAUUUAGGAUGAUAUACAUCACUUAUUGACGUCAAAAAAAUUACUUAAACUAAGUCUACUGCCGGCUUCCAAAGCGCAAGUGAAGAAGAAGCGGCGCAACAAACUUCACCGCAGCCUUUUCUCCAAGGACGUCAAUUAACAAAUAUAGGUCUUAUAUAUAUAUUCUUCUUAUAAAAUGUGAUAGCGACAAGACCAUGGAAUUAGUAGGUACUCUGUACAAUGAAGUACUUACUAAAUCCAUGGACAAGACAUACUUAUUUUGUUAUGCAAAACUUUAGAUUUUGGGUUAAAAUCUAUAAAGUUUUCAUCUCAAAAACUAUACAUGCUACAGAUAACUGUAGCAUGUUUUUGAGAUACAGAUGGGCCCUCAGACGGCACUAUGAGGACUGAGGGCCUUUCGUAAAACAUUGUAUCUCGCUUAUUUGGCUUUCACAAAAUCUAAUUCCAACUUUCAAAAUUCUAUUGGAAUGUUCACUAAGUCCCUAGCAUAAUUUCAUAGAAUUUCAAGAAUUGGGCAAUCAUACCACACGCACAUGUUUAUUUUCUUUUUUAUGAAUAAGAGGGCCGAUCUAUAAAGAGUAGACAAAAAAUGCAGAGACUGUAACCUCUUUUGAGUGUUCAUUUCGGUAAUUCAAAAAAAACGCAGUUCGUCAAAAAUCCAUUUUAUUCUCUGCUUUUUAUAAACAGUCUGUGCCAACAUUUUUAAAUAACGAAAAAUGUAGUUUUUUUUUUUAAUUUUCUGAAGUUGUAUAUUCUGUCGUGCAUUGUUAAUUUUGUGUAGAUUCCAUCGUAAAUACUUAUGUAAUCUAUAUACAUAUAAAAAUAAUAAUAUUUAAUUGUUUUGAUGUAUAUUUUGCAAGUCUAGUAAUGUUUAUAAUUAUUAUUAGUUUUAUCAAAUAGUUAUUAUUGAUGUAGGUAAUAAUAUGUGUUACAGUUUGCCUUGUGGUUUUAUUAUAAAAUUUGGAUGAAGAAUAAAAUAGUUCACUUCUUUGGUAACUUAAUCUUACUAAAAUUAUAAAUGUGAAAAUUUGCAAGGAUGUAUAUAUGUACGUUUGAAAUCAAAUCAAAUUAUUAUGGGAUAUUAUACCGUCAUUUUGUACCUAUGCAAAAAAAAAACGCUGUGAAGUUUGUUGCGCUGCUUCUCAGUGUUGUUGACUGUACAUCAUUCUAGUAAAUACAACAUUAUUGUGAAACAUUUUUUUGAAGUUUUAGCAAAUAAAUCAAUCGAUACCGAAACAAAAUAAUAUCAGAACGUUCGAGGUUCAACUGCGAUGCAGGUGAAGUUAUUCGUUCGAGUAGUAAGUAGGUGUACAGGUACAAUUACUUGGAACAGAUUAUAAACCAGAAAAUAUAAUCGAACAACAUGUCUUACUAACCGUGGUAAUUAUAAAUAUAAUGUUGUGUUGCCAAAGCAAUCACAAAUCGAUAUCAGCGUUGUACAGUCACAUCAAAUUACCCUGCAUGAACCUCUAUGACGCGUUAAUAGCGGCGAGUUUGCAGUGAAUUUGGCUAGGUUAAUGUGCUGUCGACUGUACUUAACAAUAUUGCAUUAAACUCGGCAAAUUGGUACUUACAGGAAAGUAUUUCUUCGUUAUUGUUUAAAAAUGCACAAUAGUUUACGUUUUUAACUUUGUUUUACAGAGUGUCGUGUAAAAUUUUCAGUUCAAGUUUGUUUAUAGGUAGUAAGCAGAAAACAGUUUUUUUACGUACUGUUUUUUACAUAUUAUUAUUAUAUAUUAUAUUAUUGUUUUUUAUAUAUUAUAUUACCGAAAGGUCUUGGGUUCGAUCCCCGGUCGGGUCAUGAUGGAAAAUGAUCUUUUUCUGAUUGGCUCGGGUCUUGGAUGUUUAUCUAUAUACGUAUUUGUUAUAAAAUAUAGUAUCGUUGACUCAGUAUCCCAUAACACAAGUCUCGAACUUACUUUGGGGCUAUCUCAAUCUAUGUGAUUUGUCCUUAUAUUUAUUUAUAUAUUUAUUAUGUAUAUAUUUUGUAAAAUGAAAAUGUAAAAGUAAUUGAAUGUAUCAUUGCAAUUAAUAAUGGCUCUAUCCAGAGACAUUGAUUCAUCUGUGGCUGUACCAUACCAGGUUUAGUACGAGAUUGCAACGAUAAAUUAUAGAAAAACCAAUGUGAACACAACACAGCGCUUAUCUUAUCGAGUGUGUGAGUGUUGUUUCAGAUUUUAUUCCAGUCACCUAAAGGGAUCUGACAUGAUUUUUAAGAUUACUUACUGCCAGGUAAGUUCACAUCGAUUUCAUUCAUCAAAAGCGAAAUUCUGAAAAAUGUAAUCAAUCCAAUCCAAUAUUUGGAUCAAUCACAAAAAAUAUUCUUCAUUCCAUUUAACAGAUCGAUUUAAUAAUUUGUGUUUACAAAUAAAUAAAUCAAUUUAACACGUAUAUAUUACUUGAUUGAAUAUCCGCGCAAUUUUAUGGUUAUAUAAAUAGCGUAUUGGUAUUAUUUAAUCAUUCGAUUCUACUAAGUAUAUGGUAUUUGCUGUUCAUAGAAAAAAAUAUGAUUUUUGUUUACCUUUUUCUUGCCUUAAGUGGACUGUCGAUAGUAUCUGGACAGAAUCAGUUAAUGUGUACCACUGUGCUUUAUCCUCCGUAUGCGAACCUUAAUGGCGCCAAUCAAGUAAAAAUCAAACCAAUGCCCCUCCCAGCUGGAUUAAACCAAUAUGUUAUACGUUAUGAGAACAGAUGCAGAGUGACAGUGGCACUAAUGGUGAAGGUAUGUGAUGAUGUAGCUCCGUUUGUCAAUCCUGUGAGCCUGAAAGAGGUGGACGUGACGAGGACUGGUAACUUUCAGCAUGUGAACGGCGUGGCGAACGCGUAUUAUUUGUGUCGGUAAUUUAAUAUGGGUUAUGUCUGCCGACCUAUGAAACGAGCUAAAAAAAAACUUGAAAAAUAUAUAAAUGUCAGCACAAAAA
Long non-coding RNA from Plodia interpunctella (Indianmeal moth), 3498 nucleotides. RefSeq lists it as uncharacterized. The record is from RefSeq and is a predicted model, not a curated record. The transcript has 5 exons. Lineage: Eukaryota; Metazoa; Arthropoda; Insecta; Lepidoptera; Pyralidae.